This is a long non-coding RNA of Chenopodium quinoa (quinoa), 799 nucleotides long. RefSeq lists it as uncharacterized. The transcript is spliced from 2 exons. NCBI's taxonomy places the organism in Eukaryota, Viridiplantae, Streptophyta, Magnoliopsida, Caryophyllales, Amaranthaceae. The record is from RefSeq and is a predicted model, not a curated record.
UGUGGGACAUGAUUAGUUGGCAUGAGCAGCUGCAUGUGGGAUGCCGUUAUUGUAAUCAAAUGUUCCUCAUUCUACUGUCCUCCAACACCUUCGUCCUCCAUUGAAGCUGUCAACCACAUCUCCUUCGUGUCCUUCAGCUCGCACCUCCACCAUCUUCUUUGUGCUCCUCCGUCUUUAUUGUCCUCCUUUGUCUUUCAGUCGGCUUUGCCGCCGUAUUCACGAAAACCCUAACAAAAAUGGGGAAAGAAGGGCAUGGUUAACCCCAAAUGGUGAGGAAAGGGAAGAAGAAGAGCAACUGGUGGAAGAGAUGGAUGCCAAAAGAAGACCAAUUUACAAAUAUAUCAAAAUUUCGUCAUGAAUCCAGAUUUAAUUUCAAAAUUAAGGGAAAUAGACUUGAAUCCCUCGAUCUUCACUUUGGGUACACUUGAAUUUGCGAACAAGAUGCAGAUCUUCACUUGUAAGUUAACGGUGAAAUUUAACACCGUCAUCUUUUCUUUUGCACUCCUUGUACAGCUGGACAUAGUCAGAAACACCUCACAAUAUGUAAAACCACUCAUACCCCUGGAAAUUACUGUAUUACCCCCAUGAGAAACGAAUGUUGUUAAUCAAUAGGAGAAACAGGGAAUUACUCUUGCCAUUAGUGAUUGUCUCCAUCUGUGAGACUUUUCUGUACUCACUCAUUAUGAAAGUUGUUACACGAGGCAAGUUCUCUUUGCUACUUUAUUGUAUUUGGUAAGUGUUUGAUUUCCAUUUGAUUAAUCUAAUUGUAGUUCUAACCCUUUUUUUGAUCCCCCAUUAA